GACGAACGCUGGCGGCGUGCUUAACACAUGCAAGUCGAACGGACCCUUUGGGGUUAGUGGCGAACGGGUGAGUAACACGUGGGUGAUCUGCCCUGCACUUUGGGAUAAGCCUGGGAAACUGGGUCUAAUACCGGAUAGGACUACGCACUGCAUGGUGUGUGGUGGAAAGCUUUUGCGGUGUGGGAUGGGCCCGCGGCCUAUCAGCUUGUUGGUGGGGUGAUGGCCUACCAAGGCGACGACGGGUAGCCGGCCUGAGAGGGUGACCGGCCACACUGGGACUGAGAUACGGCCCAGACUCCUACGGGAGGCAGCAGUGGGGAAUAUUGCACAAUGGGCGCAAGCCUGAUGCAGCGACGCCGCGUGAGGGAUGACGGCCUUCGGGUUGUAAACCUCUUUCGCCAGGGACGAAGCGCAAGUGACGGUACCUGGAGAAGAAGGACCGGCCAACUACGUGCCAGCAGCCGCGGUAAUACGUAGGGUCCGAGCGUUGUCCGGAAUUACUGGGCGUAAAGAGCUCGUAGGUGGUUUGUCGCGUUGUUCGUGAAAACUCACAGCUUAACUGUGGGCGUGCGGGCGAUACGGGCAGACUGGAGUACUGCAGGGGAGACUGGAAUUCCUGGUGUAGCGGUGGAAUGCGCAGAUAUCAGGAGGAACACCGGUGGCGAAGGCGGGUCUCUGGGCAGUAACUGACGCUGAGGAGCGAAAGCGUGGGGAGCGAACAGGGUUAGAUACCCUGGUAGUCCACGCCGUAAACGGUGGGUACUAGGUGUGGGUCUCCUUCCUUGGGAUCCGUGCCGUAGCUAACGCAUUAAGUACCCCGCCUGGGGAGUACGGCCGCAAGGCUAAAACUCAAAGGAAUUGACGGGGGCCCGCACAAGCGGCGGAGCAUGUGGAUUAAUUCGAUGCAACGCGAAGAACCUUACCUGGGUUUGACAUGCACAGGACGCCGGCAGAGAUGUCGGUUCCCUUGUGGCCUGUGUGCAGGUGGUGCAUGGCUGUCGUCAGCUCGUGUCGUGAGAUGUUGGGUUAAGUCCCGCAACGAGCGCAACCCUUGUCUCAUGUUGCCAGCACGUUAUGGUGGGGACUCGUGAGAGACUGCCGGGGUCAACUCGGAGGAAGGUGGGGAUGACGUCAAGUCAUCAUGCCCCUUAUGUCCAGGGCUUCACACAUGCUACAAUGGCCGGUACAAAGGGCUGCGAUGCCGUGAGGUGGAGCGAAUCCUUUCAAAGCCGGUCUCAGUUCGGAUCGGGGUCUGCAACUCGACCCCGUGAAGUCGGAGUCGCUAGUAAUCGCAGAUCAGCAACGCUGCGGUGAAUACGUUCCCGGGCCU
RNAcentral lists this ribosomal RNA (1330 nucleotides) under uncultured bacterium. Its description in RNAcentral is "bacterial SSU rRNA". It matches the Rfam family "Bacterial small subunit ribosomal RNA", at positions 28 to 1381 of the family's 1533-position model. The record is from RNAcentral.